This 498-nucleotide long non-coding RNA is filed under the name Homo sapiens (human). Its description in RNAcentral is "non-protein coding lnc-NKX2-4-6:3". Lineage: Eukaryota; Metazoa; Chordata; Mammalia; Primates; Hominidae. The record is from RNAcentral.
GAGUUCGGAACCCUAUAGGCCCUUGCCCCGCCGAGGGUCCUGAAUUCCUCGCCCCCGGGGUGCUGAAUCCCACAGCCCGCGUCCCAUCGCGUGUGGGGCUGCGACUGCUCGCGAGGCUGGCAGCAGGGCGCGAGCUCCGGCAAGGCUCCCCGGGGGCAGGCGGCGGAGCCCAUGGGCCGCGGCCUAGACGUGCCGGGGGCCCGGGCUCGAGUGUGGCGGCCGCCUGGCGCCUCCUCACCUUCUCUUCCACGCAGUUGACUAUGAUGGACGGGUACUUGCGGCUGAGCCAGCGGAAGAACGCCGGGACUCCCAUAGCGGCACACGGCUGGAGGCGGCGGCCGACCGGCUGACGAGCGUAACCAAAGAGACGGGAGCAGCGGCAGAGGGCACCAGCACUUCCUCCCACGUGCGCGCUGGAGAACGGAAGUGACGUCACGGCGCCGCCGCCGGGGAAGCUGGGAAGGAGGCUUCGCUGGAUGAGGGAGCGGCGGAAAAGGG